UAUUAAUAUAAUAAUUUGAAUUUAUCUUCUCCAAAAAAUAACAUAUAAGAGUGAAGAACGAAUCCAUUCAAAGUGUUAUAUCCUUCCGUUGUCAGCUCCUAACGGAUACCUAAAUCAAAAUGUCAAUUCAAAAUUAGCUUCUUCUUCUUCUUCAUUCGUUCUCUUCAAGAACAGGGGUGAUUAAAAGGCGUACGUCUGUGGCCAAGAGACAAGCAAUUUCAUCAGGGUUACAGAAUAAUCAGAUCGGAAAAUUGAAUGCCCCGACAAACGACCGGUGAUGAUAUGGACAUUGAGAGACUUACGCACGAUGGAGCAACCACUAUGGGAAGAGAUAUCUUCAAAUUUACUUUCUAUUGGAGUAGAUUGAAGUCCUGGACAGUGUAAAUCUCUCUGGGCUCCUUUGGGUCAAAAGUAUGAGAAAAUAUAUGAUGUACUUGUGGACUUGGAAUCAACAGAUAAAGAUUGUCAACAUUGAUACAAAUACUUGCAAGGAAAAAGGAAAGGCUUUCGACAUAUUCCAUUCAUCGGGCAUGCGCACUAUAUAAUUUGACUAGCAUGUUGAGGUAAACUUCUAAUAUC
This is a long non-coding RNA of Solanum lycopersicum (tomato), 579 nucleotides long. RefSeq lists it as uncharacterized. The record is from RefSeq and is a predicted model, not a curated record. Lineage: Eukaryota; Viridiplantae; Streptophyta; Magnoliopsida; Solanales; Solanaceae.